This 468-nucleotide ribosomal RNA is filed under the name uncultured bacterium. RNAcentral's name for it is "partial 16S ribosomal RNA". It matches the Rfam family "Bacterial small subunit ribosomal RNA", at positions 28 to 507 of the family's 1533-position model. The record is from RNAcentral.
GAUGAACGCUGGCGGCGUGCUUAACACAUGCAAGUCGAACGGAAAGGCCGAAGCUUGCUUCGGUACUCGAGUGGCGAACGGGUGAGUAACACGUGGGUGAUCUGCCCUGUACUUCGGGAUAAGCUUGGGAAACUGGGUCUAAUACCGGAUAUGACGAUCUCUUGGAUGGGGUUGUGGAAAGCUUUUGCGGUAUGGGAUGAGCUCGCGGCCUAUCAGCUUGUUGGUGGGGUAAUGGCCUACCAAGGCGUCGACGGGUAGCCGGCCUGAGAGGGUGUACGGCCACAUUGGGAUUGAGAGACGGCCCAGACUCCUACGUGUGGCAGCAUGGGGGAAUAUUGCACAAUGGGCGCAAGCCUGAGGCAGCGACGCCGCGUGGGGGUUGACGGCCUUCGGGUUGUAAACUCCUUUCGCAAUCGACGAAGCCUUUUGGUGACGGUAGGUUGAGAAGAAGCACCGGCUAACUACGUG